CCUACGGGAGGCAGCAGUGGGGAAUUUUGGACAAUGGGCGAAAGCCUGAUCCAGCAAUGCCGCGUGAGUGAAGAAGGCCUUCGGGUUGUAAAGCUCUUUUGUCAGGGAAGAAACGGUGAGGGCUAAUAUCCCUUGCUAAUGACGGUACCUGAAGAAUAAGCACCGGCUAACUACGUGCCAGCAGCCGCGGUAAUACGUAGGGUGCAAGCGUUAAUCGGAAUUACUGGGCGUAAAGCGUGCGCAGGCGGUUUUGUAAGUCUGUCGUGAAAUCCCCGGGCUCAACCUGGGAAUUGCGAUGGAGACUGCAAGGCUAGAAUCUGGCAGAGGGGGGCAGAAUUCCACGUGUAGCAGUGAAAUGCGUAGAGAUGUGGAGGAACACCGAUGGCGAAGGCAGCCCCCUGGGUCAAGAUUGACGCUCAUGCACGAAAGCGUGGGGAGCAAACAGGAUUAGAUACCCUGGUAGUCCACGCCCUAAACGAUGUCUACUAGUUGUCGGGUUUUAAUUAACUUGGUAACGCAGCUAACGCGUGAAGUAGACCGCCUGGGGAGUACGGUCGCAAGNUUAAAACUUAAAUGAUAGAGCGNGAGAGNGCGAGACGACGACGAGGGAGGAGG
RNAcentral lists this ribosomal RNA (615 nucleotides) under uncultured bacterium. Its description in RNAcentral is "bacterial SSU rRNA". It matches the Rfam family "Bacterial small subunit ribosomal RNA", at positions 338 to 944 of the family's 1533-position model. The record is from RNAcentral.